GACGAACGCUGGCGGCGUGCUUAACACAUGCAAGUCGAACGGAAAGGCCCUGCUUUUGCGGGGUGCUCGAUUGGCGAACGGGUGUGUAACACGUGAGUAACCUGUCCCUGACUUUGGGAUAAAUUCAGGAAACAGGGGCUAAUACCGGAUAGGAUCUCCUGCUGCAUGGUGGGGGUUGGAAAGUUUCGGCGGUAUGGGAUGGACUCGCGGCUUAUCAGCUUGUUGGUCGGGUAGUGGCUUACCAAGUCUUUGACGGGUAGCCGGCCUGAGAGGGGGACCGGCGUCAUUGGGACUGAGGGACGGAGCAGACGCCUACGGGAGGCAGCAGUGGGGAGUAUUGCGCAGUGGGCGGGAGCGUGAGGCAGCGACGCCGCGUGCGGGAUGACGGCCUUCGAGUUAUAAACCGCUUUCGCCUUUGACGAAGCGGGAGUGACGGUAAUGGGUAAGGAAGCACCGGCUAACUACGUG
RNAcentral lists this ribosomal RNA (468 nucleotides) under uncultured bacterium. RNAcentral describes it as "partial 16S ribosomal RNA". It matches the Rfam family "Bacterial small subunit ribosomal RNA", at positions 28 to 507 of the family's 1533-position model. The record is from RNAcentral.